This 539-nucleotide transfer RNA is filed under the name uncultured cyanobacterium. RNAcentral's name for it is "partial 16S-23S ribosomal RNA intergenic spacer". The stretch from base 212 to 284 matches the Rfam family "tRNA". Lineage: Bacteria; Bacillati; Cyanobacteriota. The record is from RNAcentral.
CAGGGAGACAACAAAAUGUUUAAUAUUAUUAUUUUGUCACCUUAGGUCGAUCGGUACCUCACGCUCUUAAUUCUUUAAGGAUUUCAUUUCCUAAGUUUUUCUAGGUCACACCCAUUAUUUUUCCUGGGCCAUUAGCUCAGGUGGUUAGAGCGCACCCCUGAUAAGGGUGAGGUCCCUGGUUCAAGUCCAGGAUGGCCCAUAUCUCUAUGUUGGGGGUAUAGCUCAGUUGGUAGAGCGCCUGCUUUGCAAGCAGGAUGUCAGCGGUUCGAGUCCGCUUACCUCCACUGAUACCACCUCUUCCAUAUUCUGUAGAAAGGAAAUGUUUUGAGUUGUGAUCAAAUUCUGAACGAAUCUAGCUUCCUAAUGAAACCAUUAAGAUGCUGGACUCAUUGAAUUAAUUUCAUUGUUUUCAGAGAACCUUGACAACUGCAUAGAUUAUUUUAAAGACAAUAAGCAUUUUUAAUGAUGCAGAUUUAUUAUUUGUGCGAAUGCAUUAAAUAACAAUUCUAUUAAGCUGAUGCUUCAAUUAUGAAGUUAUU